UUAAGCGACUAAGCGUACACGGUGGAUGCCCUGGCAGUCAGAGGCGAUGAAGGACGUGCUAAUCUGCGAUAAGCGUCGGUGAGGUGAUAUGAACCGUUAUAACCGGCGAUUUCCGAAUGGGGAAACCCAGUGUGUUUCGACACACUAUCAUUAACUGAAUCCAUAGGUUAAUGAGGCGAACCGGGGGAACUGAAACAUCUAAGUACCCCGAGGAAAAGAAAUCAACCGAGAUUCCCCCAGUAGCGGCGAGCGAACGGGGAGGAGCCCAGAGCCUGAAUCAGUGUGUGUGUUAGUGGAAGCGUCUGGAAAGGCGCGCGAUACAGGGUGACAGCCCCGUACACAAAAAUGCACAUAUUGUGAGCUCGAUGAGUAGGGCGGGACACGUGGUAUCCUGUCUGAAUAUGGGGGGACCAUCCUCCAAGGCUAAAUACUCCUGACUGACCGAUAGUGAACCAGUACCGUGAGGGAAAGGCGAAAAGAACCCCGGCGAGGGGAGUGAAAAAGAACCUGAAACCGUGUACGUACAAGCAGUGGGAGCCUCUUAAUGGGGUGACUGCGUACCUUUUGUAUAAUGGGUCAGCGACUUAUAUUCUGUAGCAAGGUUAACCGAAUAGGGGAGCCGAAGGGAAACCGAGUCUUAACUGGGCGUUAAGUUGCAGGGUAUAGACCCGAAACCCGGUGAUCUAGCCAUGGGCAGGUUGAAGGUUGGGUAACACUAACUGGAGGACCGAACCGACUAAUGUUGAAAAAUUAGCGGAUGACUUGUGGCUGGGGGUGAAAGGCCAAUCAAACCGGGAGAUAGCUGGUUCUCCCCGAAAGCUAUUUAGGUAGCGCCUCGUGAAUUCAUCUCCGGGGGUAGAGCACUGUUUCGGCAAGGGGGUCAUCCCGACUUACCAACCCGAUGCAAACUGCGAAUACCGGAGAAUGUUAUCACGGGAGACACACGGCGGGUGCUAACGUCCGUCGUGAAGAGGGAAACAACCCAGACCGCCAGCUAAGGUCCCAAAGUCAUGGUUAAGUGGGAAACGAUGUGGGAAGGCCCAGACAGCCAGGAUGUUGGCUUAGAAGCAGCCAUCAUUUAAAGAAAGCGUAAUAGCUCACUGGUCGAGUCGGCCUGCGCGGAAGAUGUAACGGGGCUAAACCAUGCACCGAAGCUGCGGCAGCGACACUAUGUGUUGUUGGGUAGGGGAGCGUUCUGUAAGCCUGUGAAGGUGUACUGUGAGGUAUGCUGGAGGUAUCAGAAGUGCGAAUGCUGACAUAAGUAACGAUAAAGCGGGUGAAAAGCCCGCUCGCCGGAAGACCAAGGGUUCCUGUCCAACGUUAAUCGGGGCAGGGUGAGUCGACCCCUAAGGCGAGGCCGAAAGGCGUAGUCGAUGGGAAACAGGUUAAUAUUCCUGUACUUGGUGUUACUGCGAAGGGGGGACGGAGAAGGCUAUGUUGGCCGGGCGACGGUUGUCCCGGUUUAAGCGUGUAGGCUGGUUUUCCAGGCAAAUCCGGAAAAUCAAGGCUGAGGCGUGAUGACGAGGCACUACGGUGCUGAAGCGACAAAUGCCCUGCUUCCAGGAAAAGCCUCUAAGCAUCAGGUAACAUCAAAUCGUACCCCAAACCGACACAGGUGGUCAGGUAGAGAAUACCAAGGCGCUUGAGAGAACUCGGGUGAAGGAACUAGGCAAAAUGGUGCCGUAACUUCGGGAGAAGGCACGCUGAUAUGUAGGUGAAGCGACUUGCUCGUGGAGCUGAAAUCAGUCGAAGAUACCAGCUGGCUGCAACUGUUUAUUAAAAACACAGCACUGUGCAAACACGAAAGUGGACGUAUACGGUGUGACGCCUGCCCGGUGCCGGAAGGUUAAUUGAUGGGGUUAGCGGUAACGCGAAGCUCUUGAUCGAAGCCCCGGUAAACGGCGGCCGUAACUAUAACGGUCCUAAGGUAGCGAAAUUCCUUGUCGGGUAAGUUCCGACCUGCACGAAUGGCGUAAUGAUGGCCAGGCUGUCUCCACCCGAGACUCAGUGAAAUUGAACUCGCUGUGAAGAUGCAGUGUACCCGCGGCAAGACGGAAAGACCCCGUGAACCUUUACUAUAGCUUGACACUGAACAUUGAGCCUUGAUGUGUAGGAUAGGUGGGAGGCUUUGAAGUGUGGACGCCAGUCUGCAUGGAGCCGACCUUGAAAUACCACCCUUUAAUGUUUGAUGUUCUAACGUGGGCCCCUUACCGGGGUUGCGGACAGUGUCUGGUGGGUAGUUUGACUGGGGCGGUCUCCUCCUAAAGAGUAACGGAGGAGCACGAAGGUUGGCUAAUCCUGGUCGGACAUCAGGAGGUUAGUGCAAUGGCAUAAGCCAGCUUGACUGCGAGCGUGACGGCGCGAGCAGGUGCGAAAGCAGGUCAUAGUGAUCCGGUGGUUCUGAAUGGAAGGGCCAUCGCUCAACGGAUAAAAGGUACUCCGGGGAUAACAGGCUGAUACCGCCCAAGAGUUCAUAUCGACGGCGGUGUUUGGCACCUCGAUGUCGGCUCAUCACAUCCUGGGGCUGAAGUAGGUCCCAAGGGUAUGGCUGUUCGCCAUUUAAAGUGGUACGCGAGCUGGGUUUAGAACGUCGUGAGACAGUUCGGUCCCUAUCUGCCGUGGGCGCUGGAGAACUGAGGGGGCUGCUCCUAGUACGAGAGGACCGGAGUGGACGCAUCACUGGUGUUCGGGUUGUCAUGCCAAUGGCACUGCCCGGUAGCUAAAUGCGGAAGAGAUAAGUGCUGAAAGCAUCUAAGCACGAAACUUGCCCCGAGAUGAGUUCUCCCUGACUCCUUGAGAGUCCUGAAGGAACGUUGAAGACGACGACGUUGAUAGGCCGGGUGUGUAAGCGCAGCGAUGCGUUGAGCUAACCGGUACUAAUGAACCGUGAGGCUUAACCU
This 2900-nucleotide ribosomal RNA is filed under the name Escherichia coli. RNAcentral describes it as "23S ribosomal RNA". It matches the Rfam family "Bacterial large subunit ribosomal RNA". The record is from RNAcentral. Lineage: Bacteria; Pseudomonadati; Pseudomonadota; Gammaproteobacteria; Enterobacterales; Enterobacteriaceae.